GCCUGGGUGGCUCAGUUGGUUAAGCGUCCGACUUCAGCUCAGGUCAUGAUCUCACGGUUCGUGAGUUCGAGCCUCGCAUCAGGCU
Molecule: transfer RNA, 85 nt
Filed under: Felis catus (domestic cat)
Lineage: Eukaryota; Metazoa; Chordata; Mammalia; Carnivora; Felidae
Also listed under: 2 other names
Rfam family: tRNA
About the family: Transfer RNA (tRNA) molecules are approximately 80 nucleotides in length.
Source: Rfam by way of RNAcentral